CCUAAUGUGAGUGAUCAGAUGUGUCUAGCUUUCCCUUUCUUGGAUUGACUGACUCUUAGCUGACCUCAGGAGCUGUGAUCAACUACGCUGACAGCGCAGGAGACAAAAGUCUGUGUAUCAUCUCCAGGAAGGGGAUCAAGGGACGGCUGAACAGACUUCCCGCUGCCGAUGUGGGUUACAUGGUGAUGACCACAGUCAAGAAAAGGCAAACCAGAGCUCAGAAAAAAGCACUCGAGUAUUAG
Molecule: long non-coding RNA, 242 nt
Filed under: Cercocebus atys (sooty mangabey)
Lineage: Eukaryota; Metazoa; Chordata; Mammalia; Primates; Cercopithecidae
Description: lncRNA (ENSCATG00000045759.1)
Source: RNAcentral